This 352-nucleotide ribosomal RNA is filed under the name uncultured bacterium. Its description in RNAcentral is "bacterial SSU rRNA". It matches the Rfam family "Bacterial small subunit ribosomal RNA", at positions 8 to 353 of the family's 1533-position model. The record is from RNAcentral.
AGAGUUUGAUCCUGGCUCAGGAUGAACGCUAGCUACAGGCUUAACACAUGCAAGUCGAGGGGCAGCAUGGUCUUAGCUUGCUAAGGCCGAUGGCGACCGGCGCACGGGUGAGUAACACGUAUCCAACCUGCCGUCUACUCUUGGACAGCCUCUGAAGGAAGAUUAAUGCAAGAUGGCAUCAUGAGUUCACAUGUUCACAUGAUUAAAGGUUUUCCGGUAGACGAUGGGGAUGCGUUCCAUUAGAUAGUAGGCGGGGUAACGGCCCACCUAGCCUUCGAUGGAUAGGGGUUCUGAGAGGAAGGUCCCCCACAUUGGAACUGAGACACGGUCCAAACUCCUACGGGAGGCAGCA